RNAcentral lists this ribosomal RNA (468 nucleotides) under uncultured bacterium. RNAcentral's name for it is "partial 16S ribosomal RNA". It matches the Rfam family "Bacterial small subunit ribosomal RNA", at positions 28 to 507 of the family's 1533-position model. The record is from RNAcentral.
GACGAACGCUGGCGGCGUGCUUAACACAUGCAAGUCGAACGGAAAGGCCCUGCUUUUGUGGGGUGCUCGAGUGGCGAACGGGUGAGUAACACGUGAGUAACCUGCCCUUGACUUUGGGAUAACUUCAGGAAACUGGGGCUAAUACCGGAUAGGAGCUCCUGCUGCAUGGUGGGGGUUGGAAAGUUUCGGCGGUUGGGGAUGGACUCGCGGCUUAUCAGCUUGUUGGUGGGGUAGUGGCUUACCAAGGCUUUGACGGGUAGCCGGCCUGAGAGGGUGACCGGCCACAGUGGGACUGAGAUACGGCCCAGACUCCUACGGGAGGCAGCAGUGGGGAAUAUUGCACAAUGGGCGGAAGCCUGAUGCAGCAACGCCGCGUGCGGGAUGACGGCCUUCGGGUUGUAAACCGCUUGCGCCUGUGACGAAGCGUGAGUGACGGUAAUGGGUAAAGAAGCACCGGCUAACUACGUG